UGCCGCGUGUGUGAAGAAGGCCUUCGGAUUGUAAAGCUCUUUUAGUUGGGAGGAAGGGCAGUUACCUAAUACGUAUCUGUUUUGACGUUACCGACAGAAUAAGCACCGGCUAACUCUGUGCCAGCAGCCGCGGUAAUACAGAGGGUGCAAGCGUUAAUCGGAAUUACUGGGCGUAAAGCGCGCGUAGGCGGUUCGUUAAGUUGGAUGUGAAAUCCCCGGGCUCAACCUGGGAACUGCAUUCAAAACUGACGAGCUAGAGUAUGGUAGAGGGAGGUGGAAUUUCCUGUGUAGCAGUGAAAUGCGUAAAUAUAAGAAGGAACACCAGUGGCGAAGGCGACCACCUGGACUGAUACUGACACUGAGGUGCGAAAGCGUGGGGAGCAAACAGGAUUAAAUACCCUGGUAGUCCACGCCGUAAACUAUGUCAACUAGGCGUUGGGAGCCUUGAUCUCUUAUUGGCGCAGCUAACGCAUUAAGUUGACCGCCUGGGGAGUACGGCCGCAAGGUUAAAACUCAA
This 517-nucleotide ribosomal RNA is filed under the name uncultured Pseudomonas sp. RNAcentral describes it as "bacterial SSU rRNA". It matches the Rfam family "Bacterial small subunit ribosomal RNA", at positions 395 to 904 of the family's 1533-position model. Lineage: Bacteria; Pseudomonadati; Pseudomonadota; Gammaproteobacteria; Pseudomonadales; Pseudomonadaceae. The record is from RNAcentral.